UUUUUGUACAGUGGAAGUGUUUAUUCAUCUGCAGUUGAAAUGGUAUCUGAUAUGAGUAGACAACACUUCUGGAGUAAUACUGGAAAAGAAAGUAAUCUCUGACUUAUAAAAGGAAGAUACAUGCACAGAAUUUAUGAUGCUCAAAACUGUUCUUGGUUCAACAUGCCUGUCAUGGGCUGAGUGCUCAUUAUUUCCCUUGCAGUGAAACCAGGACUCAGAGAAGGAAUAACACAAACAAAUUCAAGGAAGAAGAAAGGAAACAGACCAGUGGCCUUUAGUUUUGCCUUGGACCAUGGAUGAUCUUAGUAAAAAACCCCUAUUGACUC
This is a long non-coding RNA of Pezoporus occidentalis (night parrot), 326 nucleotides long. RefSeq lists it as uncharacterized. The record is from RefSeq and is a predicted model, not a curated record. The transcript has 3 exons. NCBI's taxonomy places the organism in Eukaryota, Metazoa, Chordata, Aves, Psittaciformes, Psittacidae.